UGGCUCUCACCGAGGGAGGCAAGGACAUUGCUUUCACAGAUUAUGGACCGACGUGGCAACUCCAUCGGAAACUGGCACUGAGGGCUCUCAAGUACUACAUGAAAGGCGAGAGGUUUCAGGACACGAUAGUUGAAGUUAUGGAAGCUGUGGCGGUAGAGAUGGGGACAGAGACAGGAUCAUUUGACAUCUACAGCUACAUCAACCUCGCCAUCUUCAACAUCAUCAGCAAGAUCUGUUUCAAUGAGAAGUUUUCAUCGGACAAUGAAGAGUUCCUGAACGUCUGUAAGACAAUU
Haliotis rubra (blacklip abalone) is the source of this 293-nucleotide long non-coding RNA. RefSeq lists it as uncharacterized. NCBI's taxonomy places the organism in Eukaryota, Metazoa, Mollusca, Gastropoda, Lepetellida, Haliotidae. The transcript is spliced from 3 exons. The record is from RefSeq and is a predicted model, not a curated record.